CGAAGGAGGAUCUGGGAAGCUCCAGUCGGGCUCCUCUCAAUCCUUGGAGCACAUCACCCAGCAGAACAGCUCCGAGGGGGUGAAGGACAAGAAAUCACGGGAGCAGCGGGAAUGGGUGCACCCUCGGCCGGGAAUGUAGAGCCGGCUGGGAGAGCUCCGGGUGCUGCUGCCAUCCAGAGGAACCUUCCUGGCCUGGAGAAACGGGUUGGCUGGAACCUCGGAAGGAUCGACAAGGAGGAAAGUCCUGCCCUUGGGGAGGAACAACCCCGGGCACCAGGAUGUGCCAUGAGGACAUGCCAGAGCUGGAAGACCCAGGAGAGCAUGGAGUGGUGGAGUAGGAGUGUGGAAUUCCCUGGGAAGUGUGGAGUGUGUCCAUCCAGGAACAGAGCCCGCUUAGGGAAGAUCAGGAGAGGGAUGCUGAGCACGGCCAUGGCUUCCCAACAUCUCCAUCACCAUCACCACCUCUGGGAGCCCAGGAAUGGGAUCUGGGAGGGGAAUGAGUCCAGGGAAGCGCUGAUGAGCUGCCGGCACUUUUCCUGGGCGUCUUCCAGUGGAUUGCAUGGCUGGA
Manacus vitellinus (golden-collared manakin) is the source of this 568-nucleotide long non-coding RNA. RefSeq lists it as uncharacterized. Lineage: Eukaryota; Metazoa; Chordata; Aves; Passeriformes; Pipridae. The transcript has 2 exons. The record is from RefSeq and is a predicted model, not a curated record.